GAUUGGCUCAGGAUGAACGCUAGCUACAGGCUUAACACAUGCAAGUCGAGGGGCAGCAUGACGAUAGCUUGCUAUUGUUGAUGGCGACCGGCGCACGGGUGAGUAACGCGUAUCCAACCUUCCCGUUGCUAGGGGAUAACCUUGCGAAAGUAAGACUAAUACCCUAUGAAGUUCUUCGCAGGCAUCUAAAGAGAACGAAAGAUUUAUCGGCAACGGAUGGGGAUGCGUCUGAUUAGGUUG
Molecule: ribosomal RNA, 240 nt
Filed under: uncultured bacterium
Lineage: Bacteria
Description: partial 16S ribosomal RNA
Rfam family: Bacterial small subunit ribosomal RNA
Source: RNAcentral